AUUAAAUUGUAAAUUGACUUUAUUUGGUAUAUCUAGAAACAUGAAACUUUGGAUACCCUUUUGGGAUCUCUUUUAUGGUUUUUGAAUGCUCAUUGAAUUGUAAAGGCUGUAUCUUUCAUCUUCUUCUUCAUCUUUUGUUUAUUUGUUUACCUUUUCUAGCUUGUGUUGCUUACUUGUCUUUAACCUGCAUCAACUCGUUUUCUCUGGUUGGGGAUUCCAUCCUGUUGUAAUUUCAGCAUCAUAUGGUGAUAAAAAAGAAAAACCUCUUAUA
This 271-nucleotide unclassified non-coding RNA is filed under the name Hevea brasiliensis (rubber tree). Lineage: Eukaryota; Viridiplantae; Streptophyta; Magnoliopsida; Malpighiales; Euphorbiaceae. The record is from RNAcentral.